GCACUGGUUUAGCUCAGUGGUUACUUCAAUUCUCUUUGCCGAAUUAACUCUUCCGGUAACACGGGAUCGAACCACGGGCGCUGUCCAUUGUUUUU
RNAcentral lists this vault RNA (95 nucleotides) under Cottoperca gobio. Its description in RNAcentral is "Vault RNA (ENSCGOG00000012961.1)". It matches the Rfam family "Vault RNA". From Rfam's summary of the family: This family of RNAs are found as part of the enigmatic vault ribonucleoprotein complex. The complex consists of a major vault protein (MVP), two minor vault proteins (VPARP and TEP1), and several small untranslated RNA molecules. It has been suggested that the vault complex is involved in drug resistance. Lineage: Eukaryota; Metazoa; Chordata; Actinopteri; Perciformes; Bovichtidae. The record is from Rfam by way of RNAcentral.